CGGCGAGUGAAGCGGGAAGAGCUCAAAUUUGAAAUCUGGUGGCCUCAGGUCAUCCGAGUUGUAAUCUAUAGAAGUGUUUUCCGUGCUGGCUCAUGUACAAGUCCCUUGGAACAGGGCGUCAUAGAGGGUGAGAAUCCCGUCCUUGACAUGAACUACCAGUGCUCUGUGAUACAUUUUCAACGAGUCGAGUUGUUUGGGAAUGCAGCUCAAAAUGGGUGGUAAAUUCCAUCUAAAGCUAAAUAUUGGCGAGAGACCGAUAGCGAACAAGUACCGUGAGGGAAAGAUGAAAAGCACUUUGGAAAGAGAGUUAAACAGUAUGUGAAAUUGUUGAAAGGGAAACGAUUGAAGUCAGUCGUGCUCUUUGGAUUCAGCCGGUUCUGCCGGUGUACUUCCUUUGAGUGGGGUCAACAUCAGUUUUGAUCGCUGGAUAAAGGCUGGAGGAACGUAGUACCCUCGGGUAAACUUAUAGCCUCCUGUCACAUACAGUGGUUGGGACUGAGGAACGCAGCACGCCUUUAUGGCCGGGAUUCGUCCACGUACGUGCUUAGGAUGUUGACAUAAUGGCUUUAAACGACCCGUCUUGAAACACGGACCAAGG
This 598-nucleotide ribosomal RNA is filed under the name Filobasidium magnum. RNAcentral describes it as "LSU rRNA". It matches the Rfam family "Eukaryotic large subunit ribosomal RNA", at positions 87 to 671 of the family's 3401-position model. The record is from RNAcentral. Lineage: Eukaryota; Fungi; Basidiomycota; Tremellomycetes; Filobasidiales; Filobasidiaceae.